Molecule: long non-coding RNA, 2296 nt
Organism: Mus musculus (house mouse)
Lineage: Eukaryota; Metazoa; Chordata; Mammalia; Rodentia; Muridae
Product: predicted gene, 20149
Exons: 4
Source: RefSeq, a predicted model, not a curated record
CACCUGCCUCUCAGAGUUCAGACAAAGACUUCUGAAAGGCCUGAAGCUGACGAGUUAUUCUUAACUUGCCACAGGCUCUCAGCAGGACAGUGUUCAAGUAAAUACUGCUCAUCAGAACAGCCAACAAGAAGAAAGUUACAGUGUUAAUCAUCACAUCAGACCUAGGAGACCAGACCAAAGCAUCUCUGAAGCGUCAUCAGAUCCGAAGCAUCAUCGGAGAAGCUCGUACUUGCAGUUGGUGGCUGUGGUGACAAGUGAGAAUGGCCCCCACAGACUUACUUGUUUGAAUACUUGGUUUCCAGUUGGUGGAAUUGUUCGGGAUGUAUUAGGAGUUGUCUCAAGAUGUGAACUCUCUACUACUGCUCCAGCGCCAUGCCUGUCUGCUGCCAUGUUCCUACCGUGAUGGUCAUGGACUCUAACUGUGCUCAGCCCUAGAGUGGGGGUGGGGGAGGGGGAUGGUUACUUUGGAGAACUGGCAUUCUGUAUUCCUCUCACUAGGACACGAGGAUGCCGACACUCCCAGCAAACCUUCCUGUUGGGAAGAGAACACUCACACGACCCAUAGAGAGCAGUAACUGAAACAGGAGCACGCUAUUUCCAUAAUGGAGAGGUCUGAUGUCCACUUCCUUCAUCAAAGGCUAAACUUACCAGCAGCAGCAGUGGGAUACCCUGACAACACAUGACACUUGAUAAGAUGUAUACAAGUGAUUAUCACUCAUAGUAUGGCCACAAGUUUUGCCUGAACGAAACCACGAUGAAAUAGAUAAAUUUAAAACACUGACAUUGUAUAAGACAAUUAGCCCAAGCACUUUUCUUUCUAGGUUAACUGAAACUUGACACUAAUACAACUGCUACAAAUAAUAUGACCACCAAUGAAAAUAUGAAUCUUGACCGGGUGCUAGAGAUACAAAGCUUGCUUAAGGCAUUUUUGGCAUAAUUAGGGAUAUCUAAAUGUGAGCAUUCAUUAGAUGGUUUUCCUAUUACCUUUGUGACUUUUCAUAUAUGAUAAAGUAUAUUUACAUAGUAAAGUCCUUCAUUUUAUCAGAUGUAUGGUGAAGCUUCCGGAAAGUAGAGUGCACUAUACCAUAAACUUAUUUUAGUUUUCAUCUCAACAUUGAAUUUAUCAACCACACAUGUUGAAUAUGCAUGAAUGAGUAGUUGUUUAUAGCAUAUAUUCAUAUUUAUAUAUUGAUUGACUUGCUAAAAAGUAAUAUUUGGGGCUGGUGAUAUGGUUCAGUGAUUAUGAUCCCUGACUGAUCUUCCAGAUAACACAGGUUUAACUUCCAGAGUCCACAAGGACACUCAACUGUCUGUAACUCAGGUUCUAUGGAAUUUGAUGCCCUCUUCUGGUCUCCAUGGGCAAUGCACACACAUGGUGCACAGACAUAUACACAUGCAGGCAAAACAUUCAUACAUGUAACAUACAAAAUAAAAUGAAAAAAGUUAUUCUUAUUGAGAAGUAGUAAUUUUUACCCAACCAGAGAGAUGAAUUUCUUAGAAUCAUUAGUUUUCUCCCUUUAUAUUUAGUAAAAACUGUAUCUGAGGGAUGGAGAGUUGGCUUGGUGCUUGAGAGCCCUGGCUGCUCCAGGGGACCUGGAUAUGAUUCUCAGCACCCACAUCAUGGCUCACAACUGUUUGUAACUUUAGCUCUAAGGAGUCAAACGCCCUCUGAAGGCAUGGUGCACACAUGUGAAGCAAACAUGCACAUGCAGACAAAACAUUCACAUGCACAAAAUAAAAUAAAAUAUAAUAAACACCAUUUGAGGGACGAAUUACUCAUAUUCCAAUAAAUUACUUCCCAACCUGGUUUUGGAGACGCUGUAUAUUAGAAGACGGAGAGGAGUUUAUGAGAUCUGCGACUCUGGUGUGCUUCCUCACAGCUCGGGAAGAACACCCAGCCUAUGCCACUCUCAAACACUAAUAAAAAUUAAAACUCAUACCAGAGGUAGGGUCAUACACUUAAUACCUACAUAUAUAAUCCCAGCACUCAAAAGGGUGAGGGAGAAAGAUUGCUGCGUCUGAGGACAGCUCAUUAUAAUACAUCAAGACUGUCAUACACACACACACACACACACACACACACACACACACACACCACAGGCAUGUACCACUAAUACUAUGAGUAUAUAAAGUCAGUAGAUAUUUAACUAUUUUUAAACUAUUGCCCAAAUAAUUUAUUUAUGCUAACUAAUAGUUAAUAUUGUACUAAUGUCUAUGAAGAAAACAAAACAAAACUAGGAGCAGCAAUUUCCAACAUUUGCUAAAUCUCUUCCCUAUCUGCAAGAAGAGGCUCAAG